UACAAAUGAAUACUAAUAAUUUUUAUUUAUUGUAAUUUUAAAAUAUAGCAACACAAAAAGCAUUAAACCUAAAAAAUUUGUUUUUUUUAUGAUUGAGUAAAAUUUUUCCGUAUCCAUAAAAUUAGUCAAAAUUAGUCAUUAACGUUUGCUUUAUUAUAUUUACAUCAAAAAAAAAGGAUAAUUGUACAGUUAACUUGAUUCAACGUGCUACACAAAAGAAUAAAUAAACUUUACAUUUCAGUUGUUCACGUCUGUUUCAAAUCUAUACCAUAAAUCGUUACAUUAUGAGGCAUCGUUUUGGUACUCAUAGUUCAGCUUAAUAGUCUAUCCCUAGCGGGAAACUCUAAAUGAAACAAAGAGUUUUGGCAUUCCGUAAGCGACUCAUCACUAGGAUUCGGUUUUAGCACACUGCUCGAGUGAUUGCAGACUUUGACUAGAGAUUUUCCAAAAAAAUUUCUCAUUCUUCAAGUCUUUCCUCAGGACUCCAUCUAUUUAACGUCUCCAAUAGUCGAAACAUUCAACUUUAGAUUCUUGAAUGAGAGACUCCUUUCACAUAACCUCUCCGAUGGUCGACAACUAAAAAUCUUUUUUCUUCCGAAUAAUAAUUUAAAGAACUUAAAUAUCCCCUGUGUAUCUGCAAUGAGAAUCCGAAUGAAAAUGAUUAUGGAAAUUGUCAUGUAGUGGUUUUGUGUUCCACACUGUCCUUGUGUCUUUUUCUGCUUCGUAUCUCAUUCGUUAGUUCUCUUUCUCUCCUCUUGUUGAUCUGGCGAGCGGUUCGCAAUCCAAUUGCUGUCGCGAAAGGACUGGCGUACCAAUAAACUGCAGGUUGUUUAGCUCCAAUACUGUCUACCGUUUUCGUCGAAUGUUUUUUGAAGAUUCGGAAGCGCGCUUUUACUGCAGUGGUGUUGGUGUUUGAACAUAGUUAGACAAGGCUAUGUCGUAUCCGGUUCCAAAUGUUGCAAAAGCUGCUGCAAGAUGUUUAUCCUCGUCUUUCGUCCAUCUACCUGUAAUGUAUGUACGGCUCCCAUUGCUUGUUCUUAUUCGCUUUGGGCGGGCUGUCUAGGAGGAAGGUCUCCUGACGGGGAUAAAUGUUGUUCGAUUUCUGAUAUUCAUUUUUGCAGAGAGCGUCGCGCUAUUCUGAGGUCGCUAGGUCGCAUGAAAUAUGGGUUGUGUAUGUGUAAUGUAAUGCUGUGGGUGGUAAUUCCUUCAAUACUUGCCGUAUUCGGCGUAUUUCUUCCCUAUUUGUUUGCAGUAUCUGAGUCUACUCGAAGAGUAAGUCGCUCACAGGCGUUAUGUAGAUCCCGCGCCCUUGGUAGUUCACUGGGCUUCAUAAUUUGUAGCAGGUAGAAAGAGGGAUCUUCACGCGCGCUACUUCACAUUUGAAGCUGUGAGAGCCUGCGUCUGAGGAGGAGUCCUACAAGCAACAUGCUUUUGUUGUUGUGUUGGAUGGUCCCAACCUGCAGAGUUGGUAGAUAAGUAAAUAUCGGCGUUAUUCUCUGCACGAAAUUUGGCUGGUCCAUCCGAUAUAUUUGUCCGCUUCUUGUUGUUCGCAUCGUAAAUGUUAAUACGGCAUCUUUCAGUCUCAUUUGGAAAUAUAUCCAUUCACGGAUGCUCGACUUGGCUUUGUGUGGGUUAUCCGUCACCUUGCGAUUUUGUGAAUCUUUUAAAUCUGAUUCCAACCGGUCCACAGAGCUUGUUAUUUUUUUUUCGCCAAGCGGAUGUGUGUCAUGCGUGUGUUUUUAUAACGUUUCAAAGAGAAAUAUGUCCUUUUUGUGACUGAAAUUUUUCUCAAAGGAUUUGAUGAUAAUUUUAAUUACUCAGUAAAUCAGAUUAUGUUAAAAACUCGUUUUCCUUUGUAUUUCCACUCCGUGGAUGCAUUUGAAUGUGUGAAAAAUAAGUCUUGCAACUGUGUGCUACAUGCGUACGUACAGAGGGAGGUUAAGCAGCGCUACAGUUAUUCCUUUGUACACUCUAGUCUACCCAACGCUCCUGAUAAGUUGUUGUAGAAUCGGAGUUGAAAGAUCAUCGCAUUUGUUAGUGAUGUAGCGCUUCCAGGGAUCGUAGCACUUCUUUGCAUAGUACACCGCAUGUGAUUCCCCGUGUGAUGAUCUAUAUUCUGAGGUAGUUGACUGGAGUUGUGUGUGAUGGUUCGGUGUUUUCAGAUGUGUAGAGUGCUGCUGGUUUAUUUUUGCAUAUGAGUUUUUGUGUCUUAUCAGUGUUGAGUCCGCCUCUCCAUUCGACUGACCAGAUUUCUGUAAGACGUAAUCUCAAUUCUCGAGAUGUUGUAUUUGAGUCUAUGAGUAGUAUAUCUACAGCGUACAAGAAAGUUUUCAAUUUUUUCAUGCCAUAUGUCCACCGUCUCCUAUCCGCUUGACAAAGUCGUUCAUGGACAUUGCAAAGAGCCAGGGUUAUAAGAUUUUUUCUAGUGGCACUAUAGUAAGAACAAGAAAUCUUUUAGUUCCUAUACGUUCUUCCAUUCGGGAUAGAUUGAGUUCUCAUAUUAGAUCUGCUAGUUAGGGGCAGUGGACUCUCAGGUAACUUGUGGCACGAUGGGCUACAAUUGCUCGAGACAUUCGGUCAAAUGCUUUAAUCAUCUGAAGAUAUUUCAUGUAAACACAUUUUCCUGUUGCUUCUGAGCCGUGAAAGGUGAGUUAAGUGAGUGAUAGCUGGCGUUUAAUGGACUUAAGAAAUCAGAAUCUUCCUUGUAAGCAAUGCAUUAUAUCAGGUUUAUUGAUUUUUGUCAGUUUGUAUAGUGACUUAGUAAUGAUUUUCUUAAGCAUCUUUUGGCUUGUCGGCAACACCAUGAGCGCUCGCAUAUUAAAUGGAGAUUUAAGAGCUUGUUUCUGAGAGAUUGCAACAAGGCGUGCUUCAGUGACUUGUUCGCAUCCAUUUUGAAGGAUGUAAUUAAAUGUUUUUUUAUUAUUUUCUAGCCCCGUGUUGCUGGUUUGCAAGGGUUCGACUGCUUCCGCUGAAAUAUAAUCUUCCCCAGGGGAUUUCUUUUAGCGUAGGUCUUUUAUUGCGUCUUUUAUUUCUUUUGCAAUGAGAUUGCGAUCUAGCUUUUGUUUGGAUCGUCGAGUGUGGACGUAUGUACUGAUAUCGGGUUCUGCUGUUUCUUCUGAUUUAAUGAGAUCUUAGGCUUUUGGUUCCUAAUCAGAGCAGUGCCUUACAUGGCUUCCAUAUACAUAAUUAUAUGCUGUUAAGAUUUCGCUGUCCGUUACGCUUAUCGUGCUGACUGCUGGGUAGUUUUCGAACUUUUCUCUCCCAUGCUUUCAUGCAAAAAUGUCUAAAGGCGGCUCUUAUUUUUAUUACUCUUACCAAUUGUUCUUGGCUUCCGUGUUGAAAGAUUUUGGUUUGACGUCUGAUUUUUCUGACGUUUUUUCUAGUACUGUGGGGUAGUUUAUUCUUAUUGCCGUGUUCAAUAAAUCCAACAUGUUCACAUCCUGCGUGUAUUAUUGCGUCGUCGAGUAGGGUGCCCCUUUUAACGAGUUUCUCGACUUCUUGUUAAAACGUUCUUCGUAUUUUGGGUGCGCAAAGGCGGACCCAAGCUAUUUCGUUUUUUAUAAUAAUUCGUUCAACUCUCACUCCCUCCUUAUACUCUAUGAUUAACCUUGCGUGUCUUUUACUCGGAAAUUGCAGAUUAGUACUUGUGCAAUUUAUUCAUCUAGUGAAGCGAAGAUCAAUAUUGGUUCCGGGCAGUCUUCUCGCAUCCAAUGGGUUUUCAUUCCAUCAUUGUUUAAUUUAAGGUUGCUGUUAUUUGCCAAUUACUUGAGAUAUUUGCAUCUCGGUUCUCCCUGAGGAAGAUUGAAGUCGCCUUUGCGAAGCAGGUAGGGGAUUUCGACAGUGUUUCAUAAAUGCUGGAAGGAAAUUUUUCUCUGAAUGGGAUGGUGUUUCUUUUAGCAUCAGCCGUUAUGCAUGUGAAGACAAAGUGAUAUGUUGCGGAUAGAUUCCAUGAUGCUAAUGACUAGCUGAGAUGCUUUUUCUGAUGAAGCUUUACUUUGAACGCUACUAACAGUGCUUCUUAGAGUAAGGCUCCAGAUCCUCCUUUUCAUUGCAGUAACAGUGCAGCCCAUUUAAAUUUACCUAAUGUAAUGACUUCAUGUUUGGAGUGGUGGCUUCUUUCCGCAAGGAAGCAUAUAUUGAUGUUUCUUCCAAGCAUCCAGUCAAUAAGAAUAACACAGUGUGCAGUGAUCACUUUCCUAUCGUUCACCAUGCCUAUACGCAGUUUACUUUGGACUGUAAUUUGAUUUGAGGUUGUUUAAAGUAAGAGAUUUUCUUUUGAGGGACAUUCGCGGAAGGUAGACUUUGUACGAACUACAGUAACAUACAUGCGACUCUGGCAUAAUUGUUUUUUACGUUGUCAUUUAAACGACUCGGGGAAAGGGGUUGGCACUAAAGCGAACAAAAAUAAGUCGGUGCUUGCAGUGUACAUGCGAGCUAGAAGAGGGCACCGAAGUUUUCAUGCAGCUCUGCAUCAUGCAUAUGCUAGGUGGCUGUGGUUCAUUUGCCUUUGAAAGAAGGCUGUUUUUAGCUUCAGUGUCAUUUUGACCGUUUCUAGAAAUCCUAUAAACAUUGUAAAGAGUUCCAAUCGGUGGACAAUCCAUAAUUCCACAUUUUGAGAAAAAAACUUUUAUUUAACACUAAUUUCAAUAUUAAAUCUACAAAAAUUUUAAAAAAAACUCAAAAACAACAAAAGUGCUUAUUCCAACACUUUUCGGACAUCAACAAGAUUUUCUUACGACUGAACUAAUUGUCCUAGACAGUCUACUUUUUUAAUCAUAAGAUUAGUGUCGAAAUUACAAUAAAAUUUAAAAACUCUUGCGCACCACGUAAAUGCAGAGGAGUUGGGGAUAUUUAAACGAUGAAUCUCUUAGGAUAUAAGUUAUACUACAAACGCUUUAAUAAAGCUUUAAAUGUUUUUUAAAACUAGAAAUAAAGUAAAAAUUGAAUUCAUUAAAAAUUUUUCAAUGUUGCACGAUUAUUCCAAUGUCUUUUUCAUGCUUUGUUUGUUAAUAUAUUAACCCUGAUAACCUUUUUCGCAGCACAAAUUAAAAAAAAAAGAAAGUAUUUUUUUUUAAAUAAUCAAAAUAUAA
Molecule: long non-coding RNA, 5090 nt
Organism: Hylaeus volcanicus
Lineage: Eukaryota; Metazoa; Arthropoda; Insecta; Hymenoptera; Colletidae
Exons: 3
Source: RefSeq, a predicted model, not a curated record